Long non-coding RNA from Astatotilapia calliptera (eastern happy), 1569 nucleotides. Lineage: Eukaryota; Metazoa; Chordata; Actinopteri; Cichliformes; Cichlidae. The record is from Ensembl.
UUGGGAAAGCAACCUGAAGCAGUCUGUGUUUCCUUGUUCUCCCAAGCUGCUCCCGGCGCUGUAACUAACCCAGCUGAACGGCAUACCUGAGUGUUACUUUAAAUAAUUAGGAAUCUUAGAAGGAAAGGACAGAACUCUGCUUAUCGCUCACGCCACGGAGGAAACCCGGGAAGGCAAUUUCCUUCAAUUUUGGUGUCAGAAGUGGGAUCCCUGACAGAAGCUUUUCCCCUCCACAGUUCCACCAGUGGAGACAAGGAGACGCAUGUUGGAGAAGCCACUAAAACCAAGGACUCUCUGGGAGGCCGCGCGUGUUCCAGCCCCCAGACUGUACUGGCAGUGACGAAGAACCAGCAUCCUCACAGACGGACAACCUCAGUGGAUUCAUGCCAGCAGGGUUAAGACCAGCCCAAUCGGACCAUCUCAGGCGUCGGAUCAAGCAGACGACAUCUCCGGCGAGCCAGCGCCCGGAACUAGAGCAAAUAAACACACACGGGUAGAUGACAUCUCAGGCGAGCCAGCGCCCGGAUCCAGUACACACACACAAUCACUGAUUAACACACAACGUCUGAAAGAACAACAACAAGGUACUCAAACAUCCAGCAGGAACAGAAAGCCAAAAGUACCACAUGAUGUCUAACCUGAUGAAGCCAGACUCAUUUCAUCCUGAUAAUGGAGAAAAUGAAAUGCCCAUUGUCAUCAUACGACGCUUAUUCAAUGUCUCUCGAACCUGGGACCAGGCCAGGAGACAACUGAAGAACUGUUUUUCUUAUAUAUUGUCUUAUAUAUUUAGGUUAUUUAUCAUAUCUAUCGCAUUAACCUUAGGAUUUCUCUUUGCUAUUUUGUAUUGUAAACUGCAACCAUGUUCACAUUUCUGCAGGUCAUAUUUUGCUGACUAUACCUCAUGCUCCAUUUUGCAAGACACCUACUUAAUGCACUCCUCACGUUCCCUAAAAUCAGUAAAUAGCAACAUAGACGCCACUAAUAAACCAUUUUAUGCACCCUCUAGAACAGGAGCUAACGCCUGGUAUGAAAAUGCCAGAACAGCCGCUCGUGAUUUAGGAAACAGUAACUGUUAUGUCUGUUCAAAGGCUAAUCCAGAACAGGUAAUAGUAGGAUACCCCAUAUCCGGUUUCCCCCUCACUGAGGGACUAGAGAAAAUCAGCGGAAAUAAUGCUCUCUUUAAAGACGCUUUACAGUUGACUCUGAGCCCUCUCGACUGCUUACUUAGACACACACACACACCAACUAACCCUGAGACUCCAUUAGGCGAAUUAUUGAAGUUAUCUAAUGACACCGCAGGGACCUGCGCCCCAAUGAAACGCCCUAAGAAUAGGUUAAAGCCCUCACUGCCCUUAGGACAGAUCCCUCUCCAUUUUAAUACUAGUAUGAUAUGUCUGCGCAGACUAAAGUUAACUGGCCCAGACACACACAUAGAUUAUACAAAGGAUAACUAUACAUUCUUCUCUGACUCCCCAGGUGCGCGCUGUAAUGAGACAUGGCUAGCUGUCUCUGUGGCUGAAGUUGUAUCAUAUCUGGAGGAACACACACACAGUUCAAGUUCGAGCAGAG